RNAcentral lists this transfer RNA (64 nucleotides) under Brachynopus latus. RNAcentral's name for it is "tRNA-Ser". The record is from RNAcentral. Lineage: Eukaryota; Metazoa; Arthropoda; Insecta; Coleoptera; Staphylinidae.
AGUUAAUGAACUUGUAUAGUGUAUAUUUUGAAAAUAUAAAAAAAGGGUUUUUCCUUAUUAACUU